UCAUGAACCAUAAAGAUCCACCACCAGGCACCAGGCGCAUCUCCACUCUCUCUCUCUUUCUCUAUCCCUCCAUCUCCCAGCGACCUUAUCUGCUGACGCCGUUGGCUGAUUCGCAGCACAACACGCCUUGACCCUCUCCUCCUUCUACCCCGCCUCUUUGUGCCUUGCGGCGGGGCACAUGGAUGCCAACGAUCUACCGUUGCGGAGCGGAUCCUAAGCACGCCGCCGUGCCCUGCCUGGAGAAGUGGCUGGCCAUGCCGCCAUCUUCUCUCCAUCGAUUGUGUUGAAUGUGUGGGAGGAGCUCGGGCUCCAAAUCUGAGGAGUCAGUGGAUUGAUUGCCACCGCUCGACUUGCAACAGACGCAUCUCUAACCUCCAGAACUGGUGACGUAGAAGAAUCCCUCCUCAGCAGCAGCGAGCUGGACGAAGUAGUCAGAGCUUGACUGGCCGGUCUGUUCGGAUAAAGUGGGAAGGCGUAGUGGCGGACCACGGCCGGAGUCCCAAUUUUUAAGACACCUUUGCCUCUUCCUCAGGCUGUAGGCGUUCAUUCCAUACAUGCAUGUUUUCUUCUUGGCUGCCUUGGGCUCGAGCUGCCGCAAGUACGACUGACAUGCACGGUAUCGCUUCAACAACCGCCCUCAAGUCCAGGUUAUGACUAUUGACCUCCUUUGCCUCCCAUGGACCCCCCUCCCCUCCCUCCUUUUUAGUAUUUCACUUUCUUAGGUGAUGUAACUAUUGACCUCUGGAGAAUAAUGCCGCUACUGUAUUUGGCUGAUCUGAGUCCAAUGGAAUUUAUGAA
Long non-coding RNA from Triticum dicoccoides, 798 nucleotides. RefSeq lists it as uncharacterized. The record is from RefSeq and is a predicted model, not a curated record. Lineage: Eukaryota; Viridiplantae; Streptophyta; Magnoliopsida; Poales; Poaceae. The transcript has 3 exons.